GCUAUCACUUACAGAUGGACCCGCGGCGCAUUAGCUAGUUGGUGAGGUAACGGCUCACCAAGGCGACGAUGCGUAGCCGACUUGAGAGGGUGAUCGGCCACACUGGGACUGAGACACGGCCCAGACUCCUACGGGAGGCAGCAGUAGGGAAUCUUCCGCAAUGGACGAAAGUCUGACGGAGCAACGCCGCGUGAGUGAUGAAGGUUUUCGGAUCGUAAAACUCUGUUGUUAGGGAAGAACAAGUAUCGUUCGAAUAGGGCGGUACCUUGACGGUACCUAACCAGAAAGCCACGGCUAACUACGUGCCAGCAGCCGCGGUAAUACGUAGGUGGCAAGCGUUGUCCGGAAUUAUUGGGCGUAAAGCGCGCGCAGGCGGUUUCUUAAGUCUGAUGUGAAAUCUUGCGGCUCAACCGCAAGCGGCCAUUGGAAACUGGGAGACUUGAGUGCAGAAGAGGAGAGUGGAAUUCCACGUGUAGCGGUGAAAUGCGUAGAGAUGUGGAGGAACACCAG
Molecule: ribosomal RNA, 510 nt
Filed under: Heyndrickxia oleronia
Lineage: Bacteria; Bacillati; Bacillota; Bacilli; Caryophanales; Bacillaceae
Description: bacterial SSU rRNA
Rfam family: Bacterial small subunit ribosomal RNA
Source: RNAcentral